AAUACUUUGGUGGCGCCGGCGCACGGGUGCGUAACGCGUAUGCAACCUACCUUUAACAGGGGCAUAACACUGAGAAAUUGGUACUAAUUCCCCAUAACAUUCGAGAAGGCAUCUUCUUGGGUUAAAAACUCCGGUGGUUAAAGAUGGGCAUGCGUUGUAUUAGCUAGUUGGUGAGGUAACGGCUCACCAAGGCAACGAUACAUAGGGGGACUGAGAGGUUAACCCCCCACAUUGGUACUGAGACACGGACCAA
This 253-nucleotide ribosomal RNA is filed under the name uncultured bacterium. RNAcentral's name for it is "partial 16S ribosomal RNA". It matches the Rfam family "Bacterial small subunit ribosomal RNA", at positions 80 to 334 of the family's 1533-position model. The record is from RNAcentral.